GCCUUGAGUCACCGUACCGGGAAGGAGGAGAAAUCUGCCUACAAGCGACUCUGCCUCGACCCAAACCUCAUGAAGCCCAAGAGGAGAAGAAGACUCCCAACACGGACACUUCCAAACGCCAUCGCGGACAGAGCAAACAGUAUGAUGGCAAUACUCACGAGGGAAUGUACUUUUCAUAAUGCUAAUACCAGGAUCCUAAGAGAAACGGCAGGUAUUGAAAAUGGAAGCCACAGCAAAUCGCAUUUUGUGUCCAAUUUAACCACAUACGUGGCAUAGCGUCAAAAUUCAAAUGUGAAUUGUGAACCAGCCCCACAAAGCAACGAUACAGAAAUCCCAAAAUAAUAUACGAAUCGGGAAAAAACAAAUGCUACAGCUCUGGAAAUGUGCACCGUACCUCAAAA
Long non-coding RNA from Tachyglossus aculeatus (Australian echidna), 401 nucleotides. RefSeq lists it as uncharacterized. NCBI's taxonomy places the organism in Eukaryota, Metazoa, Chordata, Mammalia, Monotremata, Tachyglossidae. The transcript is spliced from 3 exons. The record is from RefSeq and is a predicted model, not a curated record.